Molecule: ribosomal RNA, 808 nt
Filed under: uncultured Chryseobacterium sp.
Lineage: Bacteria; Pseudomonadati; Bacteroidota; Flavobacteriia; Flavobacteriales; Weeksellaceae
Description: bacterial SSU rRNA
Rfam family: Bacterial small subunit ribosomal RNA
Source: RNAcentral
AGAGUUUGAUCCUGGCUCAGGAUGAACGCUAGCGGGAGGCCUAACACAUGCAAGCCGAGCGGUAUUUAUUCUUCGGAAUAGAGAGAGCGGCGUACGGGUGCGUAACACGUGUGCAACCUGCCUUUAUCUGGGAGAUAGCCCUCCGAAAGGGGGAUUAAUAUUCCAUAAUAUCUCGUUGGGCAUCCAACGAGAUUGAAAGCUCCGGCGGAUAGAGAUGGGCACGCGCAAGAUUAGAUAGUUGGUGAGGUAACGGCUCACCAAGUCUGCGAUCUUUAGGGGGCCUGAGAGGGUGAUCCCCCACACUGGUACUGAGACACGGACCAGACUCCUACGGGAGGCAGCAGUGAGGAAUAUUGGACAAUGGGUGCAAGCCUGAUCCAGCCAUCCCGCGUGAAGGAUUAAGGUCCUAUGGAUUGUAAACUUCUUUUAUACAGGGAUAAACCUCUCCUCGUGAGGAGAGCUGAAGGUACUGUAUGAAUAAGCACCGGCUAACUCCGUGCCAGCAGCCGCGGUAAUACGGAGGGUGCAAGCGUUAUCCGGAUUUAUUGGGUUUAAAGGGUCCGUAGGCGGGCCGAUAAGUCAGUGGUGAAAUCUCGCAGCUUAACUGUGAAACUGCCAUUGAUACUGUUGGUCUUGAGUAAAUUUGAAGUGGCUGGAAUAAGUAGUGUAGCGGUGAAAUGCAUAGAUAUUACUUAGAACACCAAUUGCGAAGGCAGGUCACUAAGAUUUAACUGACGCUGAUGGACGAAAGCGUGGGGAGCAAACAGGAUUANAUACCCUUGGUAGUCCACGCUGUAAAACGAUGUCC